UACGUAGGGUGCAAGCGUUGUCCGGAAUUAUUGGGCGUAAAGAGCUUGUAGGCGGUUUGUCACGUCUGCUGUGAAAUUUCGGGGCUCAACCCCGAACUUGCAGUGGGUACGGGCAGACUAGAGUGUGGUAGGGGAGACUGGAAUUCCUGGUGUAGCGGUGAAAUGCGCAGAUAUCAGGAGGAACACCGAUGGCGAAGGCAGGUCUCUGGGCCACUACUGACGCUGAGAAGCGAAAGCAUGGGGAGCGAACAGG
RNAcentral lists this ribosomal RNA (253 nucleotides) under uncultured bacterium. RNAcentral describes it as "partial 16S ribosomal RNA". It matches the Rfam family "Bacterial small subunit ribosomal RNA", at positions 524 to 776 of the family's 1533-position model. The record is from RNAcentral.